AGACAUUUGGUGCCACGAGUCUCUUCCUGUCCUAUAAGAAGUAGAGGAGAGAAGAAAAGGAAGUCAGAGUGUAUGGAGCUAGUGGCACGGAUGAACUGUUUCUUGUCGUGUCUGGACUUACAGGUCCUAGUUUACCGUUUCUUCCCCACUUGCCCACCCCUGAGGCAGCCCGUGUUGUCUUCUUCCUGGAACAGCAGUGGCUUUCUUAGGUGGUGAUUUCCCCACAGUUUAGAAGGGUACGAUCAGAGGCAUUAUGGAUCAGAAUGGACAGAAAGCUGUAGCUGCUUAUAAAGUUGAGAAACUCACUAGGGGAAACAAUGGCAUCUUAGGGAUGCUCUUUAGGGAGGAGCCAGCUGGAGGGAGACCUGCAUCUUCCCUGUGUUCCCAACCUUUCUACCUCCCUGCUGCUGUAGACCCUCCCAUGCACCUUCCCUUUGUGCCAAACCUGUCUGUCUGUUUAACCCUAUAACACAACCAUAACAUUGCCAUAUGUCCCCUAUCUUCCAGGAAACGGAGGGAAUCCAGAUUGCAUGCUGUUCAAUAGUGACUUUCUGUUGUACAGGAGGAGAGGAGGGCGGUAGAAGGUAACCAGAUUCAGUGCUGAGGUGUGGGCCCUCUGUCUCAUCCCUGCCAACUUCCUCCUCUUGAACCUUGAACUUCUACCAACAUUUUUAGCUUCUACUCUGUACCAGGUAGGAGGCUGUGGGCUGGCCCGGCAGUGAAUCCAGAGCUGUGGCUGCUCUCAUGCUCUUGGGCCUUUUGGUCUGGGAAUAUCUUUAGUUUCCAAAUCCUUCAAAUCCCAAGCCGUUUUCUUUCCUCAAAUGAGAGAAAGGGAAUAGGCAGCAGGCUGGUUUAUUGGAUGUUUUCCUUCAUUUCUGACUCUGACAGCCAUCCUUCACAUCUGAUAGGGAGUCUUCACAAUAGUGAUGAAUUUAUUCAUUUUGACUGUUUGUGAAGCUCUCUAAUUAAUUCUUUAUAGAUUUCCAUCAGCGACUAAAUUUGUGUUUUGAGUUAAAAUUGGGCAUUCAGAGGAACUGCCUUGGGAUACUCUGCUCUCUCGGAGCCCCUCCUCCACACUGGCAGCUGCUGACCUCCUGUUCACUAAGCAACUGAGCAGCACCGUUUGCCUCAUAGUGACGCACCAGCAGGUGGUUACCAUGGAAUGAGACAGCAGCAAAGCACUGUCCCUGUCGUCAUGGAGCCCCUGAGCCAUCUCCUAAGCAACCUGGCAGGAGAUCCCCAAACAAAUCUAUGCUCUCUGCUCCACUGAGGUUAGUUUUAAAUUUAUUUUUGUGGGUUGCUUGACAUCAACAGCUUUGUGUAGCUAAACAAAUUUAGGGAAGGAGCUACAGUGUAGCUCUGUCCAGAGAGACACGGAAAAAAAAAAAAAGAAAGAAAGAAAGAAAACAAAGCAGAGGGAGGAUGAAGGGGAGGGCAGGGGAUGACACAACAUAUAAGAAAUGAGUCUAAGAAACAUACAGAGAGAUGGAAAGAACUGUGUGGAAAGGGGGAGAACAGAUACACACACACACACAUACACACAUGGAAAAAAACAGAGGCAAAGAAACACAGAGAACACUGCUGCGAAGAAAACAGUGUCUCACAGAAGACUAAAAUAUCUGGGGAGAUAGCAACAGUGGCUGUGUUACUUGGAGUGUCAGCCAUUUCUCCCCUUACUUCCUGUUCUUGUUCUCAAUGUGGGAAUAUUAAAAGAGGUUGCAUUACUUG
RNAcentral lists this long non-coding RNA (1728 nucleotides) under Mus musculus (house mouse). Its description in RNAcentral is "long non-coding RNA chr16:9279965-9281693". The record is from RNAcentral. Lineage: Eukaryota; Metazoa; Chordata; Mammalia; Rodentia; Muridae.